ACAAAUUUCAAUGUCUUUACAGGAAUAAAAUUAAACAUUGCUAGAAGAAGAGAAUUUUCAAGCAGAAGGCAUAAUGAACCAUGAACUCCCCAAUCACCUACUGCCAUGGAUCACAGACAGGAAAGAAUAUAGCCCUGCAUGUUUUGCAAGAAUCAAAUCAAAUAUUGCUGGAAGAAGAGAGGCUUAUAAAGUAGUAGGCAUAAUGAACAAUGGAGUCCCCAAUAACCAAGGGCCAUGGAUCAGAGACAGGAAUAAAAGUAAACAUUGCUAGAAGAAGAGAAUUUUCAAGCACAAGACAUAAUGAACAAUGAACUCUCCAAUCACCUGCUGCCAAGGAUCACAGACAGGAAAGAAUAUAGCCCUUCAUGUAUGUAUACUUUUUCAAUUAAAGUCAUUUACAACAAAAUUGCGUUCCAUGAGAGGUUUGAAUGACUAUUUUUAGAAAAUGCAAACUUACAUGCCAUGGGUUAUUCUUCCUUCAGCUUCAUACUCAUGCUUAUUUCCUUUAGAUUUCUAUAUUUGUGAGCUGCUCAAGAUCCACUAGACACCCUAAAACUCCAUUAUUUAUUUCACUCUUUGAACAAUGUGUCUUACCUUCAGGGCUUCAGUACCUACAGCACCAAAUUCUUCAUUUUGAGCGAGAUGUAUUUUCAGAAUUCAGAACUGUCUAAUGUAAGAUGAUUUUCUGAAAAGGAAACCUUUAAUCCUUUAAGUUUUGCAAGAAUCAAAUCAAAUAUUGCUGGAAGAAGAGGCUUAUCAAGUAGUAGGCAUAAUGAACAAUGGAGUCCCCAAUAACCAAGGACCAUGGAUCAGAGACAGGAAUAAAAGUAAACAUUGCUAGAAGAAGAGGAUUUUCAAGCAGAAGACAUAAUGAACCAUGAACUCCCCAAUCACCUGCUGCCAAGGAUAACAGACAGGAAAGAAUAUAGCCCUGCAUG
Molecule: long non-coding RNA, 938 nt
Organism: Sarcophilus harrisii (Tasmanian devil)
Lineage: Eukaryota; Metazoa; Chordata; Mammalia; Dasyuromorphia; Dasyuridae
Exons: 4
Source: RefSeq, a predicted model, not a curated record